This is a long non-coding RNA of Rhipicephalus sanguineus (brown dog tick), 311 nucleotides long. RefSeq lists it as uncharacterized. Lineage: Eukaryota; Metazoa; Arthropoda; Arachnida; Ixodida; Ixodidae. The record is from RefSeq and is a predicted model, not a curated record. The transcript has 3 exons.
CAACCACACCUUUCAGUCAUGAAGGCGGAUGCGGACCAGGAUUUGCUCCAGGACCACAGCGGCUAGAUGCAGACAAGCGAGGAACUGCGUCUCCAGAAGAAGCCUAUGACGAAGCAGAGUACGACUACAAUUUGGAUGUCACUACUGUUUCGCCGUCACCCUAGGCGAGUCCCGUUACAGUAUGCCAAUUUUGCAACAUGGUUUUCCCUUUACUUCUAGUGAGGAAAUACAACCUACACUGUCACGAUUCCAUCUUGACGUUCAUUGUACAUGAGUAUUAGUGUUAACUUCCUACUAGUUCCGCUUUUCUU